This 253-nucleotide ribosomal RNA is filed under the name uncultured bacterium. Its description in RNAcentral is "partial 16S ribosomal RNA". It matches the Rfam family "Bacterial small subunit ribosomal RNA", at positions 524 to 776 of the family's 1533-position model. The record is from RNAcentral.
UACGAAGGGGGCUAGCGUUGUUCGGAUUUACUGGGCGUAAAGCGCACGUAGGCGGACUUUUAAGUCAGGGGUGAAAUCCCGGGGCUCAACCCCGGAACUGCCUUUGAUACUGGAAGUCUUGAGUAUGGUAGAGGUGAGUGGAAUUCCGAGUGUAGAGGUGAAAUUCGUAGAUAUUCGGAGGAACACCAGUGGCGAAGGCGGAUGACUGGACGGCAACUGACGGUGAGGCGCGAAAGCGUGGGGAGCAAACAGG